This 122-nucleotide microRNA precursor is filed under the name Arabidopsis thaliana (thale cress). RNAcentral describes it as "microRNA MIR405". It matches the Rfam family "MIR405 microRNA precursor family". The record is from RNAcentral. Lineage: Eukaryota; Viridiplantae; Streptophyta; Magnoliopsida; Brassicales; Brassicaceae. RNAcentral also lists the same sequence under 1 other name.
UUAACCCAUUUAACAACUCAAUCCAUACAAUUAAAUGAGUUAUGGGUUGAUCCAACCCAUUUAAUAAAAUGAGUUGGGUCAACCCAUAACUCAUUUAACCCUAAACUCAUUUGAUUAUGAGU